CGUACAGUGGCUUAGUGGUUAGAACGUUUGCCUCACACCUAAGGGGGUCGGGGGUUGGAUUCCUGCCGGGGCCA
Molecule: non-coding RNA, 74 nt
Organism: Ameiurus melas (black bullhead)
Lineage: Eukaryota; Metazoa; Chordata; Actinopteri; Siluriformes; Ictaluridae
Source: the annotation of a GenBank genome assembly